GUUGGAGGUGAGAGUUUUAGCAUGCCCGGAGGUUCCUCCUCUCGUGCUGCCUCACUAUACUGACAAAGGGUCAGCCUUCGUCCCUCCCCAUUGCUCCUACCACAGCCUGGGACACUGUCUGCGCACCAACAUCUUUCCAGGAGCUCCUCCGGUGUGGACGUCCCUGAUAAAAGACUCCUACAUCGGUCACCCCUUGCCCGCCCCUCCUACAGACACCCAGCGUUGGUACGGCCGCAGGACUGAUGACAUUGUGAAAUGGACAGAAAGAAACAUUGUGAACCAGAAGUUGAACAAGGCGCUAAAGGCAAUGGAGAACAAGUGGUCUAAAUGAGGCCAGG
Non-coding RNA from Oncorhynchus mykiss (rainbow trout), 338 nucleotides. The record is from RefSeq and is a predicted model, not a curated record. Lineage: Eukaryota; Metazoa; Chordata; Actinopteri; Salmoniformes; Salmonidae.